Long non-coding RNA from Triticum dicoccoides, 2840 nucleotides. RefSeq lists it as uncharacterized. The transcript is spliced from 4 exons. The record is from RefSeq and is a predicted model, not a curated record. Lineage: Eukaryota; Viridiplantae; Streptophyta; Magnoliopsida; Poales; Poaceae.
UCUUCCCGUUCCCCUCCACCUGCCCACUCUCCUCCCUUCCCCGCCCUUCCCACGAAAACCCUAGCCGCCACUACUGCCCUGGAGCCGCCGUCGCUGCUCUGCCCUCCCUCUCUCCGACUCAAGCCGCCGCCCUCCUCUACGCCUCCAACCUCCUCCCCAUUGGAUUGCGACCGGCCCUCCCUUGUGCUUGAGUCAUAGAGGGGCAGCAGACUCUGGUGGACAAGGAGAUGCACGGCGAGCCGUCGAUGAUGGGUGCGCCGAGAUGAGCUCUCCGGUGAAAAGAUGCAUCCACGCACAUCCAGCUCUCCACCACCACGCGCCAGAGGGAGAGGGAGAGGAAGGUGGAGAGCAGUGAGGGUCCUCACUUAGUUCGGUCGCUUGCCCACUCGAUCUGGAUGUCACGGUUGCCGUGGUUUGCUCGUCGCCGUCGGCCAGCUGGACCUUGGAAGCCGCCGCUCCUCAGCAAUCAACAAGAGUUACAGCCGCUGCCACCACUUCUUGGCAGCGAAGCAGGCCAGCGAUGAGGAGGCUCACCACCAACACGUCAUCGACGGCCAAUCACCACUUCUUGGCAGCGAAGCAGGCUAGCCAGAAGAUAUGUACUGCCUUUUUGACUUGCUAAGGCUGAUACAUGUUGACCCAGUAUAAUAGAUGUAUUAAGAUGCUAGCCAAAGAAAGUUUACAUCACUUCUAAUUUAUUGUAUAUAUGGCUCACUGAUGCUCUUAUGGCACUGAACAACAUAUUCUCAUUUAGCGCACUGUAAAUUUCUUAGGUGCUAGCAAUUGAAUCGUAGGUUAGCAUUUUAGAUGAUGUAUGCUGUUGGGUCCAAAAACAAGAAGAGUAGUCUUCUUCCAAUGUUAAAUCAUCUUCCAAAAUUCUUCUUCGGAAAGGAUCAAUCCUUCAGUUUUUUGUAUGUUGUUCUUGGAUUUGGUAAAGAUGUUAUGUUUCCAUUUUGAUCUAUUUACUAUUACACAAACCCUGAUUAAAAAGUAAUUUUUAUUUUAGAUAACUAAUGGUUAGUACAUAUCCUUCCAUUCCAUGAAUUAGUUUCAUUUUGUCUGGGUUAUGCUCUCUAUGUGUGUAAGCUUAGAAAAACCAAGACUUAAUCCUACUGCAGUUUAUGUGUGCUAUCACCUCACCAUAUGCAUUCAGAUGGGUCAGGUUGCAUUUGCAAGGGUAUUUGAGCAAGGGUGGGACUCUGCACAUUUUCUCAAUUUGUUUUCGGCUUUCAGAUUACAGAUGUGUGCACCGGCUGUUUAUAAACGCCUAACGAUUAUGACUUCAGGGCAUGGCAGCAAGGGAGAAAGGGGAGAAACACAAAUAGCUAAUUCAGAAGGAAGAGAUGAUGUUGUGAACUACAUUCUCUAUAUGUCCCUUGCGGCCUUGAUGGACCUAAUCAGGGCAAAAUACAGCACAUUCCUCUGCUUUUUUCGAUAUGGUCAGCUAGGGUCUGUACAUCUACGUUUUUACUAUCGUAUAUACUACCUGUGGUAUUGCCGCUCACCUGACAAAGUGACAAUGAUUGACAUCGUGUGGUUGUUCUGUGCUUCAUGGUGUUACUAAAAUCUUUAGGAUGCCCUCACUGAUCAGCAUGGUUAGCUUCAGAUACAUGUUAUAAAAGUCUAAAUACCUUGAUAACUUUGCUCUUUUAUGCUAUUUUUGUUAAGUGGUGAUGGUAAAGAACUGGAAUUAUCUGAACAUAUUGAUCCUUUUUCUGAUACUUUCAUACCUUAAAUUAUACUCCCUCCGUCCGAAAAUACUUGUCAUCAAAAUGGAUAUAAGGGGAUGUAUCUAGACGUAUUUUAGUUCUAAAUACAUCUCCUUUUAUCCAUUGUGAUGACAAGUAUUUUCGGACGGAGGGAGUAUAAUCCAUUUUGGUGGGAGAUCCACUUUAUAAAUUCCUAUUGUAUAUGAUUCAUGCUAGAGAGACGGCAGAGUCACCGUAUGGAGGAAAGUUAGUAUGGCAUCAGAUUUUAUGUGGUCUGAUGCUCAGACACUACUGGAAUUUCUUCAUUCUAUUAAUGAAAUUUCAUUUGAUGAUACAUCAUAUGUACCUGUCAAGAGUCAUUAGAUUACUACAGAUGAGGUACUGCAGUAAUGCCUUUGCUCUGUAUGCCUACUGCGUAACUUGUAUUCUAUCUUAUGAUGCUGACUGAUUGAUUUGUACGAGAUACGAAAUCUUUGUCAAGAUUUAUGUGUUGGAUGAAAGUAGCUUCAACCAUAUAUUGAAGUGGUACACACACAUAAGGAAAGCACCGUUGUCUUCUUCACAUGUUACACCAAAGGCUGGUGGUACAAUGACGGAGACCAAGGUCAAAGAUGAGUGGUACUAGGACCAACUUCUACAGGAAAUGGAAGAAUUGAGGACCUUCAUUCAUUCAUAGAAAAAUCAGAAGAGAGAAGAAGCAUCAAAAUAUCAUGCAAAGGGACCUGAAGUUUCAUUUAUUAAGAGAAGUUGAUCCUUGUGCGGAUUGCUGAAUCAAUCAAGAUGGAAGCUGGUGGAAUUAGAGUCCCAUUAGUACCAUUGUCUGUGACCGCAAUACAGGCAUUCACUCUAGGAUCUGAGAUUUCUUUUGCUCAUCCCCUAUGGUAGAUGAUAGUUCAAGCAGUGAAUUCAUACACUUCUAUACAUAUUUUCUUCUUUUGUUGUGUUUUAGCAUAAUCAUAGUCUGAUUUGAGUUUUUGCAAGCCUGCUGAAGUCCUAUUGAUUGUGCUCCUGCAACUUAGCAUGAUCGACGUCUCCCGAAAAUUAAGAGAAUAACUAAUUGUAUAUGCUAUUUAUGAGUGAAUUAUGUGUCCUUGGCUAUUGAGGCCUAAUGAAAACUUUGUAUUGGGUAAA